RNAcentral lists this ribosomal RNA (468 nucleotides) under uncultured bacterium. RNAcentral describes it as "partial 16S ribosomal RNA". It matches the Rfam family "Bacterial small subunit ribosomal RNA", at positions 28 to 507 of the family's 1533-position model. The record is from RNAcentral.
GACGAACGCUGGCGGCGUGCUUAACACAUGCAAGUCGAACGGAAAGGCCCUGCUUUUGUGGGGUGCUCGAGUGGCGAACGGGUGAGUAACACGUGAGUAACCUGCCCUUGACUUUGGGAUAACUUCAGGAAACUGGGGCUAAUACCGGAUAGGAGCUCCUGCUGCAUGGUGGGGGUUGGAAAGUUUCGGCGGUUGGGGAUGGACUCGCGGCUUAUCAGCUUGUUGGUGGGGUAGUGGCUUACCAAGGCUUUGACGGGUAGCCGGCCUGAGAGGGUGAACGGCCACAUUGGGACUACGAGACGGCGCAGACUCCUACGGGGGGCAGCAGUGGGGAGUAUUGCACAGUGGGCGGAAGCCUGAUGCAGCAACGCCGCGUGCGGGAUGACGGCCUUCGGGGUGUAAACCGCUUUCGCCUGUGACGAAGCGUGAGUGACGGUAAUGGGUAAAGAAGCACCGGCUAACUACGUG